CAGUCGCCACGGUAAUACGUAGGUCCCGAGCGUUGUCCGGAUUUAUUGGGCGUAAAGCGAGCGCAGGCGGUUAGAUAAGUCUGAAGUUAAAGGCUGUGGCUUAACCAUAGUACGCUUUGGAAACUGUUUAACUUGAGUGCAGAAGGGGAGAGUGGAAUUCCAUGUGUAGCGGAGAAAUGCGUAGAUAUAUGGAGGAACACCGGUGGCGAAAGCGGCUCUCUGGUCUGUAACUGACGCUGAGGCUCGAAAGCGUGGGGAGCAAACAGGAUUAGAUACCCGAGUAGUCCCUGUCUCUUAUACA
Molecule: ribosomal RNA, 301 nt
Filed under: uncultured bacterium
Lineage: Bacteria
Description: partial 16S ribosomal RNA
Rfam family: Bacterial small subunit ribosomal RNA
Source: RNAcentral